This 503-nucleotide ribosomal RNA is filed under the name uncultured archaeon. RNAcentral's name for it is "bacterial SSU rRNA". It matches the Rfam family "Archaeal small subunit ribosomal RNA", at positions 154 to 654 of the family's 1478-position model. The record is from RNAcentral.
CGAUAGGUCAUCACUUCUGGAAUGGGUAAUGACUUUAAAUCUAUAUGGCCCCCUGGAUUGGACUGCGGCCGAUCAGGCUGUUGGUGAGGUAAUGGCCCACCAAACCUGUAACCGGUACGGGCUCUGAGAGGAGGAGCCCGGAGAUGGGCACUGAGACAAGGGCCCAGGCCCUAUGGGGCGCAGCAGGCGCGAAACCUCUGCAAUAGGCGAAAGCUUGACAGGGUUACUCUGAGUGAUUUCCGUUAAGGAGAUCUUUUGGCACCUCUAAAAAUGGUGCAGAAUAAGGGGUGGGCAAGUCUGGUGUCAGCCGCCGCGGUAAUACCAGCACCCCGAGUGGUCGGGACGUUUAUUGGGCCUAAAGCAUCCGUAGCCGGUUCUACAAGUCUUCCGUUAAAUCCACCUGCUUAACAGAUGGGCUGCGGAAGAUACUAUAGAGCCUAGGAGGCGGGAGAGGCAAGCGGUACUCGAUGGGGUAGGGGKUAAAAAUCCGUUGAUCCAUUGAA